RNAcentral lists this ribosomal RNA (621 nucleotides) under uncultured euryarchaeote. RNAcentral describes it as "bacterial SSU rRNA". It matches the Rfam family "Archaeal small subunit ribosomal RNA", at positions 28 to 648 of the family's 1478-position model. Lineage: Archaea; Methanobacteriati; Methanobacteriota. The record is from RNAcentral.
CACUUUCGAGGUGCGACUAAGCCAUGCGAGUCGAAUGUAGCAAUACAUGGCGAACUGCUCAGUAACACGUGGACAACCUACCCUUAGGCCUGGGAUAACCCCGGGAAACUGGGACGAUAAUACCGGAUACGGCGCGAAUGCUGGAAUGCGUCGCGCCAGCAAGCUCCGGCGCCUAAGGAUGGGUCUGCGGCCUAUCAGGGAUAGCAGUGGGUGUAACGGACCUACUAGCCUACGACGGGUACGGGUCGUGAGAGCAAGAGCCCGGAGAUGGAUUCUGAGACACGAAUCCAGGCCCUACGGGGUGCAGCAGGCGCGAAAACUUUACAAUGCUGGCAACAGCGAUAAGGGGACCUCGAAGUGCCAGGAUACAAUCCUGGCUGUCGUAAUGCCUAAAAAGCAUUGCAUAGCAAGGGCCGGGCAAGACCGGUGCCAGCCGCCGCGGUAACACCGGCGGCUCGAGUGGUAACCGCUAUUAUUGGGUCUAAAGGGUCUGUAGCCGGCUGGAUAAGUCUCUUGGGAAAUCCGGCAGCUUAACUGUCGGGCUUUUCAGGAGAUACUGUCUGGCUCGAGACCGGGAGAGGUGAGAGGUACUUCAGGGGUANGGGUGAAACUUGCUGACCG